AUACGUAGGUGGCAAGCGUUAUCCGGAUUUACUGGGUGUAAAGGGCGUGUAGGCGGUAUACCAAGUCAGAUGUGAAAUCUCCCGGCUCAACCGGGAGCGUGCAUCUGAAACUGGUACACUUGAGUGCUGGAGGGGAAAGCGGAAUUCCUAGUGUAGCGGUAAAAUGCGUAGAUAUCGGGAGGAACACCAGUGGCGAAGGCGACUUCCUGGCACAAUACUGACGCUCAUGUGCGAAAGCUAGGGUAGCGAACGGGAUUAGAUACCCCGGUAGUCCUAGCCGUAAACGAUGGAUACUAGGUGUGGGUGUCGCAGGGCAUCCGUGCCGCAGCUAACGCGUUAAGUAUCCCGCCUGGGGACUACGGUCGCAAGACUGAAACUCAAAGGAAUUGACGGGG
This 395-nucleotide ribosomal RNA is filed under the name uncultured bacterium. RNAcentral describes it as "partial 16S ribosomal RNA". It matches the Rfam family "Bacterial small subunit ribosomal RNA", at positions 523 to 918 of the family's 1533-position model. The record is from RNAcentral.